AUUGAACGCUGGCGGCAUGCUUUACACAUGCCAGUCGAACGGUAACAGGCCGCAAGGUGCUGACGAGUGGCGAACGGGUGAGUAAUGCAUCGGAACGUGCCCAGUCGUGGGGGAUAACUACUCGAAAGAGUAGCUAAUACCGCAUACGAUCUAUGGAUGAAAGCGGGGGACCGUAAGGCCUCGCACGAUUGGAGCGGCCGAUGUCAGAUUAGGUAGUUGGUGGGGUAAAGGCUCACCAAGCCAACGAUCUGUAGCUGGUCUGAGAGGACGACCAGCCACACUGGGACUGAGACACGGCCCAGACUCCUACGGGAGGCAGCAGUGGGGAAUUUUGGACAAUGGGCGCAAGCCUGAUCCAGCAAUGCCGCGUGCAGGAAGAAGGCCUUCGGGUUGUAAACUGCUUUUGUACGGAACGAAACGGCUCUGGUUAAUACCCGGGGCUAAUGACGGUACCGUAAGAAUAAGCACCGGCUAACUACGUG
Molecule: ribosomal RNA, 482 nt
Filed under: uncultured bacterium
Lineage: Bacteria
Description: partial 16S ribosomal RNA
Rfam family: Bacterial small subunit ribosomal RNA
Source: RNAcentral